CAGAGCAUCACAUCCAAGAUGCUUUGACUGCACACACUGCUGGAGCUUCAAGUCAACUUAUGACAUGUGAGACAGUCAUUGAGGUUCACCCUCAGCCACACCCUCCACAGGAAGAACUCCUACUAGAGCAUCACAUCCAAGAUGCUUUGACUGCACACACCGCUGGACCUUCAAGUCAACCUAAGACUCCACCUGAAGAAGUUGGUGAAGUGUAUCCAAGGCCACUCCUCCCACAGGAAGAACACCACUAUCAAGAAACAUGUACAUCACCUGAACCCAAAAAUAAGAAGAUGCUGCAGUUCAUUAAACGCAUGUCAUUCUACAACAAAGAUCUUCACAAAAGACUGACAAAAGUUACCAAAGAGAAAUUAUUAUCGUGAAGAAAUCAAGAAGUAUCAGGAAAUUAUUAAUAAAUUACGGAAUGAAUUGGAUAAUGUCAGAGUUGAAUGCCAGGAAAAUGUUUCAAAAGCAUUAUCUAAAACAUUUACAAAAAAUCAAACAAAGUAUUUUGUAUCAAAUAAGCACAUACUCAAGUGGGAGGAGGAAGACAUUAGCAAAGCACUUACUUUACGAUCCUUAAGCCCUAAGGCAUACCGUUUCCUUAGGAAACACUGGAACUUUCCACUGCCAUCUCCUGCCACUAUCAGUAAAUGGGUAUCAAAAGUUGUUGUGGAACCCGGAAUUUUGUGUAAUGUCAUCCAACUUUUAGCUCACUAUGCUCCAACAAUGUGUGAAUAUGAGCGAAUAUGUGUUUUAUCUUUUGAUGAGUCUGCAGUUGCUCAAGCUUGGUCAUAUGACU
Molecule: long non-coding RNA, 799 nt
Organism: Eriocheir sinensis (Chinese mitten crab)
Lineage: Eukaryota; Metazoa; Arthropoda; Malacostraca; Decapoda; Varunidae
Exons: 3
Source: RefSeq, a predicted model, not a curated record